AUGAGACUCAUGAAAAAUAUGAAGGUCAUCUUGAAGAUUGGGCUAGCAAGAAUCAUCAAAUCAUUACCUCGUUUCGGAAUACUUCUAUCCCUUCAAUUCAUAUUCAAUUUGCAACUUAUGAUACUGCAAAAGAGAUACGAGAUUUCCUAGCUAACAGGUAUAAAACCACUAGCCUUGCUCACUAUUAUCAAUUGUGGACAACUCUGCAUAAUUUGAAACAAGAUGCUAGGCAGUCUGUGAAUGAUUUCUUGGCUCAAGUACAACCUAUUUGGAACGAACUAUCUCAAGCCAAAAUUAAUGAGGAUCACCUUCAUCUCAUCCAAGUUCUUAUAGCUCUUCGCCCUGAGUAUGAAGCUGUUAAGGCAUCUUUGUUGCAUCGUAAUCCUCUGCCCACGUUGGAUUCUGCCAUCCAAGGGAUUAUCUUUGAGGAAACUCGUCUUGGCCUGGACAAGUCUCUCCAGUCUGAAAUCACUCUUGCCACUACUCAUUCUAGACCAUCCUACCGCAAAUCGGAGACAAAGUUUUGUAAACAUUGUCAUCAAAAUGGCCACUUACUCUCUGAUUGUCCAACUAUUGAGUGUCGAUAUUGCCAUGAAAUGGGUCGUAUAAUUGAGAAUUGUCCUAUUAGACCACCAGACCUAAAGGAGUACUUUCCAAGUCGAAACAUGUCUCUAAGCCUGGAUCUUUUGCUAUUUUUACUGCUACUGCUACUGCUUCUGUCAACUCUACUUCUAUCACUGUGAGUGAUCUGGAGGCCCUACUCAAACAAAUGAUUUCUUCUAAUUCUUCCUCUGCCAUGUUUGUAACUUCAGGUAAAUCUUCUUGGCUUUUUGAUUCCGCUUGUUGUAAUCACAUGACCUCUAGUCUCUCUAUCUUAUCCCCCAACACACCUAUAUCCUAUCUUCCUCCUAUUCACACUACAAAUGGUGAAAAGAUGAACAUCUCUCAUGUUGGACGUGCAUCGACCUCAUAUCUUAGCCUUCCUAAUACCUAGUGUGUUUCUAAUUUGUCCUUAAACCUUAUCUCUGUCGGUCAAUUAUGUGAUCUCGAUCUUACUAUUAUUUUUUCCCCUUUGGUUGUCAAGUAUAAGAUCCACGAAGGGGCCAAAUUCUUGGGACGGGUCGCAAGGUGGGGAAAUUAUUUGAUCUCAUCUCUCUUCGAGUUCCGUUACAAAAUGUGUCAGCUGCUGUAACUUCUAGUUUUUCAUUGUAUCAGUGGCAUCUCUGUCUUGGUCAUGCUUCGACUAGUAAAAUUCGACCUUUAAUUUCUCAUGGACUGUUAGGAUCUACAAAAUUUGAGUCUUUCAAUUGUCUGGAAUGUCAACUUGCAAAACAAUAUGCUUUAUGUUUUAAUAAUAGUACAUUGAAUUUUGAUGUUUCUUUUGACAUUGUCCCUUCUAAUAUUUGGAGACCUUCUCAUAUGCCAUCUAUGAAUGGUUAUCGAUAUUUUAUUUUAUUUAUCGAUGAUUAUUCUCAUUUUACGUGGAUUUAUUUUCUGAUCCAAAGAUCUGAAUUGCCACAAACCUAUAUUAAAUUUGUUAAUAUGAUCAAAACUCAGUUCUCUCACACCAUUAAAACUCUUCAAAUUGACAAUGCUAUGGAAUAUCAAGACUCCUCUCUUCUUUAGUUUCUUUGUCAACAGGGAACUGUGGUUCAACGUUCUUGUCCACACACUUCACAACAAAAUGGUAGAGUUGAACGUAAGCAUCGUCAUAUUCUUGACUAUGUUCGUGCUCUUCUCAUCUCUUCCGCUUGCCCUGAAAAGUUUUGGGGCGAAGCUGCAUUAACUAGUGUAUACACUAUUAAUCGCACCCCAACAAUAAUUCUUAAAAAUCUAUCUCCUUUUGAACGAUUAUUUGAUAAGACCCCUGAUUAUUCUAUUCUGAAACCUUUUUACUGUGUUUGUUUUGUUUUGCUACAACCUCAUGAGAAUAACAAAUUGGAACCUUAUGCCCGUCUAUGCUACUUCUUGGGUUAUGGGAUAGAACAUAAAGGUUAUCGUUGUUGGGAUCCUAUUUCUAAUAGGUUGCGUAUCUCUAGACAUGUCACCUUUUGGGAACAAACCUUGUUUUCCUCAUUAUCCAAAUUUCACUCUAACUUUACUACUCCCUCUCAAUUCUUUACGAAUUUAUCAGUCGAUCUUUUUCCUACUAAUGACACAGUUAUUUCCAGAGAACUCAAUUAUAAUCUUUCUCCUGUGACUGCUUCUAUUGAGACUGGUCCGAUUGCUGAGACUGUACCAAAUGUCUCUCCUUGUCGUUCUACUUGAGCAAGAGAAAUACUUCAUCAUCUUCAUGAUUAUCAUUGUUUUUCUGCUAUUGUAACCUUGCAUGAGCCUCUUUCUUUUCGUGAAGCUAGUAGCGAUCCUCUUUGGUAGCAAGCCAUGAAUGAAAAACUUCAAGCUUUAGGGAAAACUCGUACUUGGGAUUUGGUUGAUCUUCCUCAUGGCAAAACUCCUAUCAGAUGUAAAUGGGUUUAUAAAAUAAAAACACGUUCAGGUAGAUCUGCUAAGCGUUAGAAAGAGCUUUUAGUGGC
This 2534-nucleotide long non-coding RNA is filed under the name Olea europaea subsp. europaea. The record is from RNAcentral. Lineage: Eukaryota; Viridiplantae; Streptophyta; Magnoliopsida; Lamiales; Oleaceae.